Molecule: non-coding RNA, 526 nt
Organism: Pelobates cultripes (western spadefoot toad)
Lineage: Eukaryota; Metazoa; Chordata; Amphibia; Anura; Pelobatidae
Source: the annotation of a GenBank genome assembly
GGCUAAUGUCAUUACCACAGGCAGGAAUAUACACAGUUUUACACAAUAUUCAUAACUUUAAAAGGUAUACAUCACAUUCACAUAAAACUUACAUAGUCUGAACCAGCAUACGCAGUAUACAAACAUAGGUCAAAAUCAUACACAUUGGUCCAGUGGUUCAAAAGUUAGAUGGAAGUCCUUUUUGACCGACUGCAAGCAUGGCGUUCCUGCCCCAAACCAGUUCCACAGAGUUAGGCUGUGCAGCCGGUCUAUCUUCUCUAUCCUGGAGAUAAUUGGCUUAACUGGGUGUGGUAAGCCAAUUAUCUCCAGGUACAGAAAAUAUCUCCAUUCACAACAGCAGCAAAAAUACACAAUUCCUAUUACACUGAACAGAAACCCCACAUUCAACCUAUCCCCAGAUAGCUUGGAACUGAGCGCUCAAUAUAUCCGAACAGUGCUCAGAUCCCACGAACAGAAUAAAAUCGCCAUGGGGUUAAAGUUUAGCACGGGCUGAUGAGAGGUUGAGGAGGAAAGGUCUUAACAUGCC